Long non-coding RNA from Polistes canadensis, 636 nucleotides. RefSeq lists it as uncharacterized. The transcript has 2 exons. Lineage: Eukaryota; Metazoa; Arthropoda; Insecta; Hymenoptera; Vespidae. The record is from RefSeq and is a predicted model, not a curated record.
ACCCCGUGAAUGACGCUAGCAUUCUUAUCUCGAUGACGCGUGACACUUCAUUUAUCGUAUAAAUUAUCCGAGAGUGAGCGUACUCUCAUCACAGUCGUCUAUCAUACUUCCAACGAACCACGAAUGAGGUAGAGAAAAGGAAACUAAACAUCGAGGCCUUACUUUGGCAUUUCGAAAGAUAUUCUAAUAUAACUGGGAAGACAGUUAUAUUUCUACAAUCUAGUCAUUCAAACCAGUAUAAGCCUACAUAAUAGCAAAGAUGCUGAUUGGCGGUGCAGUUAGUUACGUAGCUGGAAAGCAGGCGGUCCGUACGGUUUAUUGGCGAACCGCAAACAACGGUCGUCUAUUAAAAACUGCUAAAACUUGCAUGUUCCAAGGACCACCUAAACCAGCACCAUCUUCGACUUCUGCGACAAUCCCUGACCGCUCUCGUAUGGAUCUGAUUCCGCGAGUUAUUUUCAACUCGCAAAAUUAAAUUAAUCGAACGAGCAACUUGUACAUAAUUUCUUUAUACAUGUAAUAUUUAACUAACUUAAUUUAAUCCAAACUCGCGUUAUUGUACAAUACUUAACGAAUAUAAUGAAAUGGUAGCACAUGUGACAAUUGAAUAAAUAAAUUAUUUAUUUAUAUAUUAAA